CCUACGGGUGACAGCAGUGAGGAAUAUUGGUCAAUGGGCGCGAGCCUGAACCAGCCAAGUAGCGUGAAGGAUGACUGCCCUACGGGUUGUAAACUUCUUUUAUAAAGGAAUAAAGUGAGGCACGUGUGCCUUUUUGUAUGUACUUUAUGAAUAAGGAUCGGCUAACUCCGUGCCAGCAGCCGCGGUAAUACGGAGGAUCCGAGCGUUAUCCGGAUUUAUGGGGUUUAAAGGGAGCGUAGAUGGGUUGUUAAGUCAGUUGUGAAAGUUUGCGGCUCAACCGUAAAAUUGCAAUUGAUACUGGCAGUCUUGCUUCCAGUUGCGGUAGGCUGUAUUCGUGGUGUAGCGGU
RNAcentral lists this ribosomal RNA (347 nucleotides) under uncultured bacterium. RNAcentral's name for it is "partial 16S ribosomal RNA". It matches the Rfam family "Bacterial small subunit ribosomal RNA", at positions 338 to 682 of the family's 1533-position model. The record is from RNAcentral.